UACGUAGGGUGCAAGCGUUGUCCGGAAUUAUUGGGCGUAAAGAGCUUGUAGGCGGUUUGUCGCGUCUGCUGUGAAAUUUCGGGGCUCAACCCCGAACUUGCAGUGGGUACGGGCAGACUAGAGUGUGGUAGGGAGACUGGAAUUCCUGGUGUAGCGGUGAAAUGCGCAGAUAUCAGGAGGAACACCGAUGGCGAAGGCAGGUCUCUGGCCACUACUGACGCUGAGAAGCGAAAGCAUGGGAGCGAACAGG
RNAcentral lists this ribosomal RNA (250 nucleotides) under uncultured bacterium. RNAcentral describes it as "partial 16S ribosomal RNA". It matches the Rfam family "Bacterial small subunit ribosomal RNA", at positions 524 to 776 of the family's 1533-position model. The record is from RNAcentral.